UGCAAGUGCGCUGACUCCAUUGGCACGAU
This 29-nucleotide non-coding RNA is filed under the name Mus musculus (house mouse). The record is from RNAcentral. Lineage: Eukaryota; Metazoa; Chordata; Mammalia; Rodentia; Muridae.